AUGAACGCUGGCGGCGUGCCUCAUACAUGCACGUCGAGCGAACAGACGAGGAGCUUGCUCCUCUGACGUUAGCGGCGGACGGGUGAGUAACACGUGGAUAACCUACCUAUAAGACUGGGAUAACUUCGGGAAACCGGAGCUAAUACCGGAUAAUAUAUUGAACCGCAUGGUUCAAUAGUGAAAGACGGUUUUGCUGUCACUUAUAGAUGGAUCCGCGCCGCAUUAGCUAGUUGGUAAGGUAACGGCUUACCAAGGCAACGAUGCGUAGCCGACCUGGGAGGAUAGUCGGCCACACUGGAACUGAGACGCGGUCCAGACUCCUACGGGAGGCAGCAGUAGGGAAUCUUCCGCAAUGGGCGAAAGCCUGACGGAGCAACGCCGCGUGAGUGAUGAAGGUCUUCGGAUCGUAAAACUCUGUUAUUAGGGAAGAACAAAUGUGUAAGUAACUAUGCACGUCUUGACGGUACCUAAUCAGAAAGCCACGGCUAACUACGUG
This 496-nucleotide ribosomal RNA is filed under the name uncultured bacterium. RNAcentral's name for it is "partial 16S ribosomal RNA". It matches the Rfam family "Bacterial small subunit ribosomal RNA", at positions 29 to 507 of the family's 1533-position model. The record is from RNAcentral.